CCCCGAGGGGCCUCCUGCCCCAGGGCCUGUCAACAGGGACAGGGACCCGACCGGAGGCAGAGUCCCUGGAGGCCCUGUGUCGGUCUCCCUGGCGAGCGAACCCCCUCCUUCUCUGGCAGGGACAUCUUUGACGUUGACUUCCUGUCGUCAGAGGAUUCGGACAACUCUUCCAACGAAGACGUGGACGUGGAGGGCAUCUCCGUGCAGGUCUGUGCCGGCCAGGCCUCCGGGAGGUGACCUCGUGGGGGCGCCGACUUCGGUUCUGGAGGGUGCCCGGGGCGGGGGGCUGCCUUCCCCAGCCACGGCCCCUGGAGGCGGGACGGCUCGUCUGCCACGGGGCCUCCGGGUGACGCCGUGGCCGCUGUGCCCGUGCGGGUGCGCGCGUGUCCUUCUGGGUGCUCCCCGGAGAUCCAACUCCUGGUCUGCCGGCUCGGCGGGUCCGGGUGGGUCCGGGCGGUGGUGUGCACAGCUUUCCGUUUGUCCGUCCGUGUGUCUGUGUGUGGGUCCUGAGGGCUGUCUGUCCGUCCCCAGGGAGGAUCCGACUGAAGAGGAAACCCCCCACCCCGUGAGGAGCUCCCCCUCCGUUGCUGUGUUCUGUCCCCCGUGGCCACCCACUCCUGGGGUCAGGGAGCCGGUGGCCUCCGAGUUCGGCCGACCCGGGCCCUCCAGGUCUCUAGGCAAUGACAGCGACCCCUGCCAUCCGCACCUGUGGAUCCGAACCCCUUCUGUGGGGAGAGGGC
RNAcentral lists this long non-coding RNA (740 nucleotides) under Lynx pardinus (Iberian lynx). Lineage: Eukaryota; Metazoa; Chordata; Mammalia; Carnivora; Felidae. The record is from RNAcentral.